Molecule: long non-coding RNA, 2186 nt
Organism: Capsicum annuum
Lineage: Eukaryota; Viridiplantae; Streptophyta; Magnoliopsida; Solanales; Solanaceae
Exons: 4
Source: RefSeq, a predicted model, not a curated record
UAAAAAAAAAAUCUUUGGAGAAUAACCGCAAAAUUUUUUGCCGACUUAACGUACAAGUUGCUUCUUCUUCUUAGAAUCUCAGUGAGUUGAUAAGGUACUUCAUUUAAAAGGAUCGGUCCAAUUAACAUGACUGUUGAGUAUCGAAAGAGAAACUCAUUACUCUCAAAUCGAGCUUUGAUAAGCAUCCUUGCCUCAUAGUGACAAAAGCCAAAAUUGGGAAGGCCUAUAAGGGAUGCCCUAUCAUCCAAUAACAUUCUUUCUUGGCAUGGCCUCCUCUUCCACAGUGAUCGCAUUUGAUGAAAAGUUUCUUACCCUUGUUGGGCUGGCCUCGAUUGAACUGUAUAGCUAAAGGUUCUCCCUUCCCUCCCAAUGCUGGAAAGGGACAAGAUCUUUGACUCACAUCUUCACUAAUUAGAGCAUAAGCCCGAUUCAGAGAAGGUUCUAUAGAGAAGGUUCUACUAUUUUUAACAAUAUUUGUCUUCAAACUUGGUCAUAUGAUUCAUUCAAUCUGCUGUGAAAUUGUACUAAUCUUUGCCUCUGCAAAUGCUCAGUGUACUCUUUUGAUUUCACACAAUCAUAGCCUAGUGUAGGGACCAAAUCAUCAUACUCAGACCAGAUCUCCCUCAAUCGAGUGAAAUACACAGCUACAGAAUCUAUGCACUGAGAAAUUAUGGCAAUUUCACGAUGCAAUUGAAACAUACAGACAUGGUUCAGUUUAUUAAAACACUCUUUCAGUUCCUUCCACACCAGAUGCACUCGAUGAGUACACAAUGCCACUAAGGAGGCUUGCAGAGACUAUAUUCAUGAUCCAUGAAAGAACGAUUGCAUUGCAGACAUUGCAGGUAAUUCCUCAUGGGAAGCUCAGGUAGAUUGCAAUUUCGAUGCCAUUUGGAAAUUGCAACUGACAAAACACAACUCUUAUUGAGAACUAUCAUGUGCAUUAAACUACUGGACUUCGUCAUCAUAUCAUUGUAGGUGCACUUCAUCAAUAUACUGCUAACUUGCAAUCACGAUCAGUGUGAUGCAAAAACUAGGCCUAUGUACUCCGCCUGAACUUUGCUAAUUGCGAGAGCUUACACUAGUAAAAUAUGAACUUACUUGGUACAUCUAUUAAUUUCACUAUACUCAACUUACAUGGUAUGUGGUUUAUAUUUCUAUCUUUUCUUUAAUACAUCAUGAUGGUACCAUAUCUUUUAUCAUAUUUGUUGGUUAUUUGAUAAAUUGCUUGUUCUUUUCUUGAUAAGGCUAAGACUAUAUUAAACACAAAAGAGACGAACACGCGAAUGAAAAUAUGCUUUAUCUUUUCCUGUAAUAUUUUUGUGAAGACCAUUCAAAGAACCAAUCUAUUGAUAUGCACGGGAAAACACUUAUGAAAAAAAAAUCUACUCUUUCUUUUUAGGCACUUAGUGCAUGAUAGACAUAAGUGAUUGUAAACUUCACUAUUGUAUUGGUGCAAGGAAAUAAUAGCGUCUUAAAACUUUUCAUUCUUGAGCAUGCAUUCCAAUCAAUAAUAACAACGCACCAGUGUAGUCUCAUAAUGUGGAGUCUGGGGAAGGGGUAAAGUAAAUGUAUACCUUACGUCUCAAUUAAGAAUAUUUGAAAUACAGGUAUUUGGCCUGAUUAAGACUACUACUUUUGGAGGAAGAUUAGGUGUGCUUAUUGUAAACUGGCUGAAGAGACAAUAGUUUACUGCGACUAACUAGGAUGAUUAUAUUUCUUGGAAUUUGUCACAUGCUCGAGGCAGGUCCAAGGCUGAUCAUAUGUUCAAGAUGAUUUAUGAGGAGGUCCUUCAUGCUAUAUGGAUAGAAAGAAAUCAGAGAGUGUUUGAGAAAUAAAGAAGAUCACCACUGGACAUUGCCAAUGAGCUUGUAUUUGCUUGCAGUGCUAAAGAUUCACCUAGAAUCCAAAAUUCGCUCCAACACUGAACCUUCUGAAGUCCUAGGUCUUGAGCUAUUUCUUAGUAUUGACAAUAUGUUUGAUCUUUUAUAGGAUAGAGAUAAGUUUGUUUUCUUUCUUGUUUUAAAUCUAAGACGGCUAGUUGAGUUGUAACUAGGCUGUGGAUUUGUAAAGAGUACCUGGUAAUUAAUAAAAUACCUCCCCCCCCCAAAAAAAAGAUAAUAAUAAAGAAACAACAGAUGUCAUUUGUUUAUUGAUUGAUCAUAUAUAAUUAUUUCUAUUAAAUGACA